UACGGGGGGGGCAAGCGUUGUUCGGAAUUACUGGGCGUAAAGGGCUCGUAGGCGGCCAACUAAGUCCGACGUGAAAUCCCCAGGCUUAACCUGGGAACUGCGUCGGAUACUGGAUGGCUUGAAUCCGGGAGAGGGAUGCGGAAUUCCAGGUGUAGCGGUGAAAUGCGUAGAUAUCUGGAGGAACACCGGUGGCGAAGGCGGCAUCCUGGACCGGCAUUGACGCUGAGGAGCGAAAGCGUGGGUAGCAAACAGG
RNAcentral lists this ribosomal RNA (253 nucleotides) under uncultured bacterium. RNAcentral's name for it is "partial 16S ribosomal RNA". It matches the Rfam family "Bacterial small subunit ribosomal RNA", at positions 524 to 776 of the family's 1533-position model. The record is from RNAcentral.